UACGAAGGGGGCUAGCGUUGCUCGGAAUCAUUGGGCGUAAAGGGUGCGUAGGCGGGUCUUUAAGUCAGGGGGGAAAUCCUGGAGCUCAACUCCAGAACUGCCUUUGAUACUGAGGAUCUUGAGUUCGGGAGAGGUGAGUGGAACUGCGAGUGUAGAGGUGAAAUUCGUAGAUAUUCGCAAGAACACCAGUGGCGAAGGCGGCUCACUGGCCCGAUACUGACGCUGAGGCACGAAAGCGUGGGGAGCAAACAGG
Molecule: ribosomal RNA, 253 nt
Filed under: uncultured bacterium
Lineage: Bacteria
Description: partial 16S ribosomal RNA
Rfam family: Bacterial small subunit ribosomal RNA
Source: RNAcentral